UGCCAGCCGCCGCGGUAAUACAGAGGGUGCGAGCGUUAAUCGGAAUUACUGGGCGUAAAGGGUGCGUAGGUGGUUAGAUAAGUUAGAUGUGAAAGCCCCGGGCUCAACCUGGGAAUUGCGUUUAAAACUGUUUAACUAGAGUACUGUAGAGGGUAGUGGAAUUUCCAGUGUAGCGGUGAAAUGCGUAGAUAUUGGAAGGAACACCAGUGGCGAAGGCGACUACCUGGACAGAUACUGACACUGAGGCACGAAAGCGUGGGGAGCAAACAGGAUUAGAUA
RNAcentral lists this ribosomal RNA (279 nucleotides) under uncultured bacterium. RNAcentral describes it as "partial 16S ribosomal RNA". It matches the Rfam family "Bacterial small subunit ribosomal RNA", at positions 506 to 784 of the family's 1533-position model. The record is from RNAcentral.